Molecule: long non-coding RNA, 690 nt
Filed under: Rattus norvegicus (Norway rat)
Lineage: Eukaryota; Metazoa; Chordata; Mammalia; Rodentia; Muridae
Description: long non-coding RNA NONRATT026319
Source: RNAcentral
CUUGGGGGAGGGGGUUUAAUGUGUGGGAAGGGAGGAUGGGCUUCUUCCGGGCCCAGAAGUAGGAAGUAGGCUGACAGGCUGUGUAGUUCCUCUCAGUGGCUGAUUCCUUUAGAGCCUCUGCUCCUUCUGUACUCUGCGGUGCUACUCUCUGACUGGAGAAGGUGAGAACAGACCCAUCCCUGCCCCAAGCCCCCCUCCACUCAUCUUCUACUUCCUAGCCUGUUACAUAAUCUGCACUCCGUCCACACGUGGAAAUAAUCACGGCUCAGCAGAAUGGGCUCGGGGGCAUGAUGAAUGGUCUGUAGGAUCGUCAGCUGACGGCCAGCUGCUCCUGAAGUGACCUGAGGGACUGCCAUAGCUCAGGUUCCCAGCCCUUCCCGGGAAAGUUGUCAGCAGUAACCAGAGCUGGCUCAGUGACUGAGAGCAGUAGGAACAUCGUUUCUUGGCAACCGUGGACAGCACACAAGAUCCAGCUAAUCACCGGUACCAGCAGAUAUCCCAGGACUCCUGAGUUGGCUGUUUCCUUCUUCGUGGCAUCUUCUCACUGGGGUUUGACCUGAGCAUUCUGGGAAGCGUGGUUCAGCUUUUUGAACCUCGCUAUCUCUCUUUUCUUUCUCCCUUCCUGCUUCCAAGUGGUUGUAUUUUUGGUUAUUGUUUAAACAAACAAACAGAACCCAAACGAACAAAUCC